Molecule: small nuclear RNA, 109 nt
Organism: Lutra lutra (Eurasian river otter)
Lineage: Eukaryota; Metazoa; Chordata; Mammalia; Carnivora; Mustelidae
Source: RefSeq, a predicted model, not a curated record
GAUUGCUUCGGCAACACAUAUAACAAAAUUGGAAUAGGACAGAGAAGAUUAGCAUGGGCCCUGCACAAGGAUGACGUGCAAAUUCAUGAAGCAGUCAGUCCCUAUUUUA